RNAcentral lists this unclassified non-coding RNA (257 nucleotides) under Curvularia affinis. Its description in RNAcentral is "partial contains 5.8S ribosomal RNA, internal transcribed spacer 2, and large subunit ribosomal RNA". The record is from RNAcentral. Lineage: Eukaryota; Fungi; Ascomycota; Dothideomycetes; Pleosporales; Pleosporaceae.
CGCACAUUGCGCCCUUUGGUAUUCCAAAGGGCAUGCCUGUUCGAGCGUCAUUUGUACCCUCAAGCUUUGCUUGGUGUUGGGCGUUUUUUGUCUUUGGCCUGCCCAAAGACUCGCCUCAAAACGAUUGGCAGCCGGCCUCCUGGUUUCGCAGCGCAGCACAUUUUUGCGCUUGCAAUCAGCAAUAGAGGACGGCACUCCAUCAAGACUCGUUUAUCACUUUUGACCUCGGAUCAGGUAGGGAUACCCGCUGAACUUAA